AUUCAGUGGCGAACGGGUGAGUAACGCGUGGAUGAUCUACCUAUGAGAUGGGGAUAACUAUUAGAAAUAGUAGCUAAUACCGAAUAAGGUCAGUUAAUUUGUUAAUUGAUGAAAGGAAGCCUUUAAAGCUUCGCUUGUAGAUGAGUCUGCGUCUUAUUAGCUAGUUGGUAGGGUAAAUGCCUACCAAGGCAAUGAUAAGUAACCGGCCUGAGAGGGUGAACGGUCACACUGGAACUGAGAUACGGUCCAGACUCCUACGGGAGGCAGCAGCUAAGAAUCUUCCGCAAUGGGCGAAAGCCUGACGGAGCGACACUGCGUGAAUGAAGAAGGUCGAAAGAUUGUAAAAUUCUUUUAUAAAUGAGGAAUAAGCUUUGUAGGAAAUGACAAAGUGAUGACGUUAAUUUAUGAAUAAGCCCCGGCUAAUUACGUGCCAGCAGCCGCGGUAAUACGUAAGGGGUGAGUUUUUGU
This 468-nucleotide ribosomal RNA is filed under the name uncultured Borrelia sp. Its description in RNAcentral is "bacterial SSU rRNA". It matches the Rfam family "Bacterial small subunit ribosomal RNA", at positions 90 to 542 of the family's 1533-position model. Lineage: Bacteria; Pseudomonadati; Spirochaetota; Spirochaetia; Spirochaetales; Borreliaceae. The record is from RNAcentral.